Long non-coding RNA from Mauremys mutica (yellowpond turtle), 1796 nucleotides. RefSeq lists it as uncharacterized. The record is from RefSeq and is a predicted model, not a curated record. The transcript has 3 exons. NCBI's taxonomy places the organism in Eukaryota, Metazoa, Chordata, Testudines, Geoemydidae.
UGGAUACACAUAAACAGCAGUUUGCAGCAGUCUGAUACACUGGUUUUCCCUAAAUACAGGUGCUGGUUAGUUAUCUGCUGCCUCAGUGUAACUAAUAGUUUAAGUGAUAUUUCUGAAAAGGUGUAUCGCCCAUUCAUUAAGAUUUAAAGGGAUGGAACAGGAUCUACUCAUUUUUAUCCCUCUGAUUAACAUGGCCUAAUGUCUCCACAGCUUUAGCCAUUGGGAAGGAAGUCUCAGAAAGCUCAUAACCAAGAGGAAGACAGAAUGGUAACAGUCCAAGAGAUUUACGUUUAAGUGAAGUCUAUAAUGCAAUUUGUGAUCACAAUGAAAGAAGGGCAGAACCUUUUGAAGGCAUUGAUAUGCAGCCUCAGCAAUUCAAGUCUUCCAGGAUAACUGGAGCAAUCUUCGCACCAACAUGCGGUGACCCCUACUCACUGAGAAUCAAGUCACCAUUGCCAUCUAGAAGCUUCCCACCCAAUCUGACAGCUUAGACCAAACAUUACUCCAUGCUGCUAUGCUGGCAACUACAAACAGGCAGAGGAAGCUUGGUACUUCAGUUCUCAAAGCUGAGUGGCUUCAGUUUUGGACUUUGUCCAUAGCACUACUGAGCAGCUGAUGUGGCUGCUGCAGCAGGACAAGGAAGAUGAGGAUGACACUGAUCAAUGGAUACUACAGGAACUGUCCCUGGAGUAGCUUCACUGGAGCAGUAUUAUUUCUGGACUCAGGAAACCAGAGACAACAGCUUGGAAAGGGUUAUUCUGCAGGAAUGACCAGCCACAGCAAGAGAAUUUCAGGAUUCCAAAGGUGACCUUUUUUGAGAUGUGUGCUGGACUAGCCCCGGAGCUGCAGCAUACCAACAUGCGGUGCCCCCUACUCACUGAGAAUCAAGUCACCAUUGCCAUCUAGAAGCUGGCCACCCCAGAAUGUUACCAAUCCAUAGCCAAGCAAUUUGGCUUAGGUAGAUGGACUGUUGACACCAUUAUCAUGCAGGUGUGUGCUGACAUGCAUAAGGUACUGUUGCACCAAGUUAUAAAGCUUGGUAAUGCUCAGGAGAUUAUUGAUGGCUUUGCAUGCCUGAGGUUCCCAAACUGUACUGGUGCUCCAACAACUGGUUGACCACUGUUAACAGGUUUCCAAACAUAAAUGUAAGGUGGUCUAGAAAGGUCCACAAUGGUAGAGUGGAGUUCCAAAAGAUCCUAUUUACCUUAAUGAAUAAAAGACAAUUUGUCCCCAAGAUCACUAUGGAUAUUAAUGGUGUGAAGAUUGCUCCAGUUAUCCUGGAAGACCUGACUUAUCCUCUGCUGUCCUGGGAUAAUGAAGCCAUUCCUGGGCCACUUGGACAGAAAGAAUGAAUUGUUUAACUAUCACCUCAGUAGUUGCACAAUGACAGUGAGCGUGUCUGACUGUCUGAAAGGAAGGUGGCUCUGUUUGUGGAACAAGUUGGUAGCUCCAGAUUAAAAAACAAACAAACAAACAAACAAAAACACCUUGCCUAAGCUUGUAGUUGCAUGCUGUAUUUUGCACAAUGCGUGUGAGAGAAAGAGAUAAAAAGUCUUAAUGGGUGGGAGGGUGAGGUGCAGAGAUUUGCUAAGAAGUUUGAACAACCAACAAGGUGUCCAACAGAAAAUGUAAACCACCAGGGCAAUACUUUCCAUUGCUCUUUCUUUGAGGCCUGAAAACAUGCACCUGUACAUCCAGCCACAAUCCCAAGGCAGGGGAAGGAGAGGCAAAUCAUGAGCAGAGCUGUCUCUUUUUUGGGUGUAGAAAUGGCAUGUGGUGGCUUACUUUACUUUGUG